AUCUGGAAGUCUUGCCAAGACAUCCAGAAGAUACCAUCUUUUGACUGUGGAACAUGCUUCAGUUUGUGUUUCAUUCUAUCAGUCCAUUCAGGUGAUGAAUCGGACCAAGGACCAUUCCACUCCACUUCGUUAGCCCAUGGAUUGCGAAUUUGAACAAGCUUAUGUCCAUCCACCUCUCUAACUUGCAGCAAAGAGUAAGCAUGGCCUUGGACAAUGCCACUAGAAGAAAUGUGCACAUCAGAACCAGAUGGACUCCCAGCACCAAGUAGAAAGCCCUCUUGUUUAAAACGUAGCAAUUGAGACCAUAGUCUGCCACUAGCAAGAUCAAUCUGGGCCUGGGCACUC
RNAcentral lists this unclassified non-coding RNA (345 nucleotides) under Hevea brasiliensis (rubber tree). Lineage: Eukaryota; Viridiplantae; Streptophyta; Magnoliopsida; Malpighiales; Euphorbiaceae. The record is from RNAcentral.